GUGUCAGCCGCCGCGGUAAUACGUAGGGUGCGAGCGUUAAUCGGAAUUACUGGGCGUAAAGCGUGCGCAGGUGGUUUUGUAAGUCAGAUGUGAAAUCCCCGGGCUUAACCUGGGAACUGCGUUUGAAACUGCAAGGCUAGAGUGUGGCAGAGGGGGGUGGAAUUCCGCGUGUAGCAGUGAAAUGCGUAGAGAUGUGGAGGAACACCGAUGGCGAAGGCAGCCCCCUGGGUCAGCACUGACGCUCAGGCACGAAAGCAUGGGGAGCAAACAGGAUUAGAUACCCUGGUAGUCCAUGCCCUAAACGAUGUCAACUAGUUGUCGGGUCUUAACGGGCUUGGUAACGUAGCUAACGCGUGAAGUUGACCGCCUGGGGAGUACGAUCGCAAGAUUAAAACUCAAAGGAAUUGACGGGGACCCGCACAAGCGGUGGAUUAUGUGGAUUAAUUCGAUGCAACGCGAAAAACCUUACCUACCCUUGACAUGUAUCGAAGCCCGCGGAGAUGUGGGUGUGCCCGAAAGGGAACGAUAACACAGGUGCUGCAUGGCUGUCGUCAGCUCGUGUCGUGAGAUGUUGGGUUAAGUCCCGCAACGAGCGCAACCCUUGUCAUUAAUUGCCAUCAUUUAGUUGGGCACUUUAAUGAGACUGCCGGUGACAAACCGGAGGAAGGUGGGGAUGACGUCAAGUCCUCAUGGCCCUUAUGGGUAGGGCUUCACACGUAAUACAAUGGCGCGUACAGAGGGUUGCCAACCCGCGAGGGGGAGCCAAUCUCAGAAAGCGCGUCGUAGUCCGGAUCGGAGUCUGCAACUCGACUCCGUGAAGUCGGAAUCGCUAGUAAUCGCGGAUCAGCAUGUCGCGGUGAAUACGUUCCCGGGUCUUGCACACACUGCCCGUC
RNAcentral lists this ribosomal RNA (893 nucleotides) under uncultured bacterium. RNAcentral's name for it is "bacterial SSU rRNA". It matches the Rfam family "Bacterial small subunit ribosomal RNA", at positions 505 to 1398 of the family's 1533-position model. The record is from RNAcentral.